Molecule: ribosomal RNA, 403 nt
Filed under: bacterium
Lineage: Bacteria
Description: partial 16S ribosomal RNA
Rfam family: Bacterial small subunit ribosomal RNA
Source: RNAcentral
UGGGGAAUAUUGCACAAUGGAGGGAACUCUGAUGCAGCGACGCCGCGUGAACGAAGAAGACUUUCGAGUCGUAAAGUUCUUUUAUAUGGGAAGAUAAUGACGGUACCAUAAGAAAAAGCCCCGGCUAACUACGUGCCAGCAGCCGCGGUAAUACGUAGGGGGCUAGCGUUGUCCGGAAUCACUGGGCGUAAAGGGUUCGCAGGCGGAAAUGCAAGUCAGGUGUAAAAGGCAGUAGCUUAACUACUGUAAGCAUUUGAAACUGCAUAUCUUGAGAAGAGUAGAGGUAAGUGGAAUUUUUAGUGUAGCGGUGAAAUGCGUAGAUAUUAAAAAGAAUACCGGUGGCGAAGGCGGCUUACUGGGCUCAUUCUGACGCUGAGGAACGAAAGCGUGGGUAGCAAACAGG